Molecule: ribosomal RNA, 488 nt
Filed under: uncultured bacterium
Lineage: Bacteria
Description: bacterial SSU rRNA
Rfam family: Bacterial small subunit ribosomal RNA
Source: RNAcentral
AGUGAACGCUGGCGGCAGGCCUAAUACAUGCAAGUCGAACGGCAGCACAGCAGAGCUUGCUCUGUGGGUGGCGAGUGGCGGACGGGUGAGGAAUACAUGGGAAUCUGCCCAGUCGUGGGGGAUAACGUAUGGAAACGUACGCUAAUACCGCAUGCGCCCUACGGGGGAAAGCCGGGGACCGAAAGGCCUGGCGCGAUUGGAUGAGCCCAUGUUCGAUUAGCUAGUUGGCGGGGUAAAGGCCCACCAAGGCGACGAUCGAUAGCUGGUCUGAGAGGAUGAUCAGCCACACUGGAACUGAGACACGGUCCAGACUCCUACGGGAGCAGCAGUAGGGAAUAUUGGACAAUGGGGGCAACCCUGAUCCAGCCAUGCCGCGUGAGUGAAGAAGGCCCUCGGGUUGUAAAGCUCUUUUGUCCGGAAAGAAACGAUGCCUUCUAAUACAGGGCGUUAAUGACGGUACCUGAAGAAUAAGCACCGGCUAACUACGU